UUGGAGUACAGGCCAGAGCACAGGUAGAGUGAAUGUACAUUUAAACAGAAGAUAGAAUUGCUAUAAUGUUUUUCUCAUUUAUUUCUCAUCCUAGAUGCCUGGUUACAGUGAUGCUUCCUCACACAUGCAAGCGGCUAGUUCUGUGACCGGGCCACUGGAAGGAGUGCCCCAACCCAGUUCCUACUGGCAUCAGAGUGCAUCACCUACAGAAAUGGGAAACAAACAAAGAGAUAUAAAAUCUGCAUACAAGGUAUCGCACAUGACCUAGGCCCAUUAACUGUCACAAACUUCAUAAGUAAAAAAGGAAGAGCAAUGCAGUACUUUACUAACAGUGUCACCAGGUCUUGAGUCCACUGAGACCUUCUAUUUAAUUUCAUAAUUGUUUGUUAAGAUUUUUCCUGAGGACCUUUAACUACUUUUCUUCUGCAAAAAGUACAGAGGUAUGGGUAUAACCAGGAACUUGCCUUCUGCUGCUAUGGAGAUGAGCUUAUCUAUGGAGCAUAAUAGAUAUGCCCUGAAUAUAUAAACUUCUUGCAUUUCAGGGCACGUUCUUUCUGCAUAUUUUUGUCUCACACUUACAAAAGCCAAUAAAAAUGUAAAGGUCUUGUCCGGAGAUGUGCUGCAUGUUAAAUGAAAAAUCUUGGGAAGUAUUCUUUAAUGUUGUUUUAACAUCAAGGAAAAUCACUUCAGUUGAUUCCCAGCCUUAACAGCGUGGGAUAGAAGAGCUUUCCAUUUCCAGCUCUAAGCAUAGAAGCUGUCUAUUCCAGGCAAGCCCUAUUCUAUAUAACUGUACCGCAGUGUUGUACUAGAAACGUUCUCCUCUUCUUCCCAAUAAGAUCUGUAAAGGUUCCUACGUACACAUCCACCUACCUGUUUUCUGCCCUACUGCAUAGAUGUGCUGCACUAAGUGGCUUAAAAAAAAAUCAUAAUGAAUUAGUGAGAAAGGCGAGAGAUGAGAAGUGCCAUGUUCUAAAUUCAGAGGCUAACAAUGGAUGCUCAUUUAUGAAAAUGUGAAACGAAGGGGGGGUGCAAUGGAAGUUUCUUUUUUGGCAUUCUCAUUGUUUGGGAGCAGGAAAAAUGGCCUAGAACACCCAAAACACCACGACUGGGUGAGUGGGGAGAACCGUACUUUACUUUCCCAAAGAGAAGCAAAGGCUCAGUUGCAGGGUUGGCAGUUCCUAGUUCGGGGCGUGUGGUUUCGGGGCCCCUACCUCGUGUGCAUGUUUGGAAAACGCCUCUGCGCUGGCCAUCAUGCUCGCAGUCCUUUCAUCCAGCUCUCCCAGUUUCUGUCCUCUCUCAUCAAGGGCAAUGCGUGCACGAGUCAAGUCCCCAAUGACUCCUCCUGCGGCUCCUCUCACACCUUCAAUUCCGCCUGAUCCAGGGAUGUGCUGGGCAAGACUGCGAGACGCUUUUCCUGCCGUGGCCUCGCCAACUGCAAAGGAGAAACGGACAAACGGACAGGAUUGAGUUCCUGGCCAUGGCUCUGUCAGUGCUUCUCAUCCUAGGGCUGCAGCCUCGCCGUGGCGAUGCCAUUUGAAGGGCAGAUGGCACGUGUGGAAGACUUUGCUCUGUGCACCGGCACAUCUACGGGGCACUCCUGGGCUCCCGCCCUUACUCGUUCAAAAGAAGCUGCCGAGGUGAAGGAAUCAUGGGAAGGCAACUGAGGAUCCUCCCCUUCCUUCACGAAGUCGUCUUUAUUUUUUCAUCAAUGAUCUAAAUCUUGUGUACCGCUCCAUUCCUAAAUGACAAGGGCAGGGGACCCUGUGAAUUGAUUUCUGCAAAAAAAAAAACCAAAACCAAACCCAAUAAAUUACUUACAGAGCUCCUCUCUGUCAAAAGCUUGUCCACUUCCUCCAAAAAGUCCUUUGAGAAAGCCUCUGUUUUGGGCUUCUGGUGUUUCCACAGGAGUAAACAAAUCCCCAAGCAUGUCCUAGUAAAGUCAGACAAAAAUCCAUGUGAAAAAUUAGUGAGGUGAAAGCUGUUCUAGGUGAUUUCCUUAUUGGCAUUAACGAGCCACAUGCAUUGGAUCUAAACCAGUUUUAAAAGAGUCUGUUAUGUGAACAGUACUGAGUACUUAACAUUUGUGUUUCAUGACAGGCAAAUACUUGGGCUAACUAGAUUCACUCAAGCUUUCAAAGGGACUUGGUUUAUCAUGGCCCAGUCUUAUGUUCAUUACCACAGAGAAAAAAAUUUACAAGCAAUACAGAGUGAAAAUAUCAGUGAUAAGAUCACAUUUCACUUAGAAACAGCAGAGGCAACACUAUAAUUGAAUAAACAAUUUGUUGUGAAUUAUGUGUUUUGCUUUAGUGAUUAUCCAGGCAAGCAGGGCAGUCAUUCUGUUCUCUCUCUAUAACGUACCCGAGUUCAGCGCUUGCUAGCAGUUCAGAGAGUUUGGUAGGUUUUUGUUUGGUGGCUUUUUGUUGAUUUUUUGUGACAAAAUCCCAUCACCUUCCAUACAACCUCUCCCCCCUCCCCGCCGCCGUUACUGUGCAUGUUGGCAGUGCCAUCAGCAAUGCUAAAUGAGCACGUCUGCUGAAGGCACUGCCGCGGCACCAGAUCUUGGAGCAGUCGACCCAAACAAAUCUCAGGCUCAGAUUUACCUGCAGCAGUACUGGGAAAAGUGGCCUCUCCAGCUUAAAACUGAUAAAGAACGCGUGCAGUCCCAUUAGUGUUUGAAACCAGUGAGGCUGUGUGCACUGAGAACAGUUGCUGCCCUGUUGCUCAGCUCUGUGUUUGCUCAUCGAAGCCUCCACAGGCAGAUACAGCUGUUGUGCUGCACAGAGCACUCGGCUCCUGGGAGGCUGAGUGCUAGGACGGCGCUGUGACUCACACUUACUGCUCCUCUGCACUGUCACCUGCUCUGGGGAGAAAAAUUACUGCAGCCCUUCGAGCCUAAGUGGAGGCUCUCAUGCAGCCUGGCUUUGUUUUCCUAGGUAGCAGGUGAUACGGGGUCAUCUGCUUUUUGUACACAUAUAAUGACUGUGCAAGCCUUUUACUGUCCUCUCUGCAUAAAAGCCAAGACACAAGCAGCCACAGCCCGACCGUACAGAGAAGCAAGGGCUGUGUUUCCCUUUGGUUGGUUGUUGUAUGAUGCUAUUAAGGUUAAUUAAAAAAAAUCUAGCUUGUAACAGCCUCUCACUAUAGGUCCGUAUUCUAAAAUACAUUGAUCAAACCUUUUGAUCACUUAAAAAUCAGUUCCCUGCAAAAUAAUCUCUUCUCGGAUGCGCAGAAGCUUGUGUGCAAUGCUCACUCCUCACAGUGCCUUUUCAGACUUGAGACAGACAGUGCUGUGAUGUGAGUUGAGCAGCUCAGCACAUGUUAUUCCCUAGGGCAUAAUGAGUACUGGCAGGACCAUUUCUUUUAUAUUUCUAUCCUAGUUCAGUGCUAAUUAUAUAACCUAGAACUUAUUCCCCCUCUUUUUUUCCCUUUUAUUACUCAUGUUUCUCCCUGUAACCUCUCACAAUUCCUCCUCUUCAGUAAAUGACUUUUUAAUUUGCAUUUUCAUUGUUAAAAAACCCCAACCAACCCAAAUCUAACAUUGUAAAGACCUUUUGCUCAAAAUAAAUUAUUUUAAUUGGA
Aquila chrysaetos chrysaetos is the source of this 3579-nucleotide long non-coding RNA. RefSeq lists it as uncharacterized. The record is from RefSeq and is a predicted model, not a curated record. The transcript is spliced from 2 exons. Lineage: Eukaryota; Metazoa; Chordata; Aves; Accipitriformes; Accipitridae.